CAGGCCUAACACAUGCAAGUCGAACGAUGAAGCCUAGCAAUCUUUGGUUGUUGGGUGGAUUAGUGGCGAACGGGUGAGUAAUACGUGGGUAACCUGCCCUCCUUUUUGGGAUAAGCCUUGGAAACGGGGUCUAAUACCGAAUAUUCUGGCGCUCUCGCAUGGGGGUGUUGGGAAAGCUUUUGUGUGAAGGGGGAUGGGCUCGCGGCCUAUCAGCUUGUUGGUGGGGUGAUGGCCUACCAAGGCGGUGACGGGUAGCCGGCCUGAGAGGGUGACCGGCCACAUUGGGACUGAGAUACGGCCCAGACUCCUACGGGAGGCAGCAGUGGGGGAUAUUGCACAAUGGGCGAAAGCCUGAUGCAGCGACGCCGCGUGGGGGAUGAAGGCUUUCGGGUUGUAAACCUCUUUCGCUAUCGAACAAGGCCCGCUUAGGGUGGGUUGAGGGUAGGUGGAGAAGAAGCGCCGGCUAACUACGUGCCAGCAGCCGCGGUAAUACGUAGGGCGCGAGCGUUGUCCGGAAUUAUUGGGCGUAAAGGGCUUGUAGGCGGCUUGUUGCGCCUGCUGUGAAAACGCGGGGCUUAACUUCGCGCGUGCAGUGGGUACGGGCAGGCUUGAGUGUGGUAGGGGUGACUGGAAUUCCAGGUGUAGCGGU
This 649-nucleotide ribosomal RNA is filed under the name uncultured bacterium. RNAcentral's name for it is "bacterial SSU rRNA". It matches the Rfam family "Bacterial small subunit ribosomal RNA", at positions 43 to 682 of the family's 1533-position model. The record is from RNAcentral.